UGCCAGCCGCCGCGGUAAUACGGAGGUCCCAAGCGUUGUUCGGAUUCACUGGGCGUAAAGCGUGCGUAGGCGGAGAGAUAAGUUUGGCGUGAAAGCCCCGGGCCUAACCCGGAAAAUGCGCUGAAAACUAUUUCCCUAGAGGAUUGGAGAGGAGACUGGAAUUCCUGGUGUAGCAGUGAAAUGCGUAGAUAUCAGGAGGAACACCGGUGGCGAAGGCGAGUCUCUGGACAAUUCCUGACGCUGAGGUACGAAGGCCAGGGUAGCGAAAAGGAUUAGAUA
RNAcentral lists this ribosomal RNA (279 nucleotides) under uncultured bacterium. Its description in RNAcentral is "partial 16S ribosomal RNA". It matches the Rfam family "Bacterial small subunit ribosomal RNA", at positions 506 to 784 of the family's 1533-position model. The record is from RNAcentral.